UGGCCAUGGUGCAUAGCUCAGAGCCGGAAAGCAAACAGCUGCUGUAGCCUGAUUUGAGUUAAAAUAGUGUCAGUGUUUAGUCUGGCGCACUGCUUCAGGAGAGAUUGGCAGCUGGGUCAAACAAAGUCAUUCCAUUGGCUCCUUUCCCAGUGAGCUUCUGCUAGUAUUUAGCUGACGCAUCCUGCUCUCAACGUGGUGUAGAAAGCAGUCUGUUACAGUGCUGGAUUAAUAAAAGGGGCCUUUAUGGGUUGUGAAAGAAUAUCUCUGUGCUUAGGCAGGAAACUUUUUGAUCCACAGAAAACCCUGACGACAUCUAGGUCUCCAAAGAGGUCUAACAGUGUGAAAAAUAGUUGGCUGUCCCGUGCAAAAGAAGCUUGUUUUCAUAAAUUCUUCAGCAGCCUGUGCAUUGUGAUGAACUGUACAGUGAUCAGAAAAUUUAAAACAGAAUGGAAAAUGAAGAAGUUGUUAAUAACAGAAAUCAACAAAGUCUCCAAGGAAACAGCUGAGUUGAAUGUUAAUUAA
Molecule: long non-coding RNA, 522 nt
Filed under: Crocodylus porosus (Australian saltwater crocodile)
Lineage: Eukaryota; Metazoa; Chordata; Crocodylia; Crocodylidae
Description: lncRNA (ENSCPRG00005013183.1)
Source: RNAcentral